CUGGAGGGAGUGAGUUUGAUAGCUGAAGCUUUACUCCUGAUUCCUUUUGUCCACUUUCCUGAAGGGUGUCUUGAAGAA
Telopea speciosissima is the source of this 78-nucleotide long non-coding RNA. RefSeq lists it as uncharacterized. The transcript has 3 exons. Lineage: Eukaryota; Viridiplantae; Streptophyta; Magnoliopsida; Proteales; Proteaceae. The record is from RefSeq and is a predicted model, not a curated record.